AUCAGAGUCCGAGGAUCUUGC
RNAcentral lists this non-coding RNA (21 nucleotides) under Arabidopsis thaliana (thale cress). Lineage: Eukaryota; Viridiplantae; Streptophyta; Magnoliopsida; Brassicales; Brassicaceae. The record is from RNAcentral.